AGCAGAGCCACGGGAACACGUAGGUGGCAAGCGUUGUCCGGAAUUAUUGGGCAUAAAGGGCAUCUAGGCGGCCAGACAAGUCUGGGGUGAAAACUUGCGGCUCAACCGCAAGCCUGCCCUGGAAACUGUUUGACUAGAGUGCUGGAGAGGUGGACGGAACUGCACGAGUAGAGGUGAAAUUCGUAGAUAUGUGCAGGAAUGCCGAUGAUGAAGAUAGUUCACUGGACGGCAACUGACGCUGAAGUGCGAAAGCUAGGGGAGCGAACAGGAUUAGAUACCCCUGUAGUCCCUGUCUCUUAUACA
This 303-nucleotide ribosomal RNA is filed under the name uncultured bacterium. RNAcentral's name for it is "partial 16S ribosomal RNA". It matches the Rfam family "Bacterial small subunit ribosomal RNA", at positions 507 to 808 of the family's 1533-position model. The record is from RNAcentral.